This 75-nucleotide transfer RNA is filed under the name Candidatus Zixiibacteriota bacterium. RNAcentral's name for it is "tRNA-Arg". It matches the Rfam family "tRNA". Rfam says of the family: Transfer RNA (tRNA) molecules are approximately 80 nucleotides in length. The record is from RNAcentral. RNAcentral also lists the same sequence under 1 other name. Lineage: Bacteria; Pseudomonadati; Candidatus Zixiibacteriota.
GCCCCCGUAGCUCAGUUAGGAUAGAGCAGUGGUUUCCUAAACCAUUGGUCGCCCGUUCGAGUCGGGCCGGGGGUA